RNAcentral lists this small nuclear RNA (287 nucleotides) under Callithrix jacchus (white-tufted-ear marmoset). RNAcentral's name for it is "7SK RNA". It matches the Rfam family "7SK RNA". Rfam says of the family: 7SK was discovered as an abundant small nuclear RNA in the mid-70s but a possible function has only recently been suggested. Two independent studies have found that 7SK RNA binds the CDK9/cyclin T complex (known as elongation factor P-TEFb). The record is from Rfam by way of RNAcentral. Lineage: Eukaryota; Metazoa; Chordata; Mammalia; Primates; Cebidae.
GGAUAUGAAGGCAAUCUGGCUGCAACAUCUGCCACCCCAGCAUUGCCAGAUUGGGCUGAUCCAGCUGGCUAGGUGGGUGUCCAUUCCCUCCCUCACUGCUUCACGUGUGUCCCUCUGAAGCUACACACUUGGUCAAAGAGGACGACCUUCCCCAACAGAAAAGGACCAUUCUUCAUUCACAGUUAUACAUGUAGCUGCGCUCCCUGCUAGAAGCUCUCAAGAUGUGGUGUUUUAUUUGUUACCAUGGCUGAGCCUAACCUUUCCCAAUGCCUGGGCUGAAAGGAAAG